RNAcentral lists this long non-coding RNA (1245 nucleotides) under Mus musculus (house mouse). Its description in RNAcentral is "predicted gene, 47210". Lineage: Eukaryota; Metazoa; Chordata; Mammalia; Rodentia; Muridae. The record is from RNAcentral.
AGUGGCCCUAGGCAGCAGCCUGGGGAAGCCAGGGUUGUCGAGCGCGGUCCGACUGAGCUGGCGGGCUCGCGGGGUCACGCGGGGCUGGAGGCCGCCUAGUACCUGAUAGCGGCCGGUGAGCAGCUGGCUCCGCGAGGGCGUGCACAGCGGCUGCACGUAGUAGUUGUCCAGGACCACGCCGCCGGCCGCCAGCGCAUCCAGGUGCGGCGUGCGGAUGACCGAGCCGUGAAAACCCAAGUCGUUCCAGCCCAGGUCGUCCGCCAGCACGAAGACCACAUGCGGAGGCUGGGUAGCUCCGGAGGCCCGGGCCGGCGACAGCAGCAGCAGCAGCAGCUGCAGCAGCAGCAGCAAGAGUGGCAGCUGCGGCCCGGGACCUCCAGGCCGGCUCCUGCCAGUGCACGGGCUAAGCUUGCCCAUCCUUAGCAGCCUGCAGAGCCCGUGCUGCGGGCACCCCCGACAGAAUCGGGAACUGAGCGGCCGGGCUCCCCAGCAAGAUUUCAUCCACCUGGGCGGGCCGCGGGCUGGGGAGGGCCGGCGUCCACGGCCUCCGCCUCCCGCGGGGGCCGGGGGAGGAGCCGCACAGAGCGCGCGGGCGAACUCAGCCGGUCCUUCCAAGGCCCAGAGGCCCGUUCUUUAUUUUAGCCAUGAACUCGAGAGCCACAAGUUCCAAAGCUGUUUCACAACCUUUAUCUGAUUAAAUCUAGCCGCAAACUUGACAGCUAAGCACUAUAGUUAGCGCUCCUUUUAUCCCCAGAAGAAACCCUGUAAUGGUUUGGACCAUUACAGAUGAGAGAAGAGAGGUGGUGCAGAUGGUGUUUCAGAUUCCUUUGUGCAGUGUGUACCCAUGAAGCCACUUCCUUCCCAUCAUCAGUGGGCCAAACACAUUCAUUCUGUCUGCCCAGAAUCUAAAAUGAAAUGGUGAAGUUUCAUUUCAAGACAUUCGGGGUAUGCCCACCUAAGACUGUCUACUUGCUUACUCAAUGUCUAGAGAUGAGUGAUAACUGUUAGGUGGAGAGAGAAAAAAUGUGCGCUGCCUGAAGGACACACCCUCUCUGGCUGAGGCCGAGUCCGUGGGAGUUACUUUACAGCUUUAGAAGCUCUGGAUGAAUGAUACCCUUGAAAAGUAAUUAUUGCUGAUGUACUCAACUGACUUCCAUGCGGUUGGCUGAUGGGCGUUUGUGGUAUUGUUCCUUAUAACCAAUUUUAAUUUCUUAUCGGUUUCUCACUAAUAAAUUAGAUGAAAUC